AUACGGAGGGUGCAAGCGUUAAUCGGAAUUACUGGGCGUAAAGCGUACGUAGGCGGUCCGUUAAGUUAGAUGUGAAAGCCCCGGGCUUAACCUGGGAACUGCAUUUAAAACUGGCGAACUAGAGUUGAGUAGAGGGGAGUGGAAUUUCAGGUGUAGCGGUGAAAUGCGUAGGGAUCUGAAGGAACACCAGUGGCGAAGGCGACUCCCUGGACUCGAACUGACGCUGAGGUACGAAAGCGUGGGUAGCAAACGGGAUUAGAAACCCGAGUAGUCC
RNAcentral lists this ribosomal RNA (274 nucleotides) under uncultured bacterium. Its description in RNAcentral is "partial 16S ribosomal RNA". It matches the Rfam family "Bacterial small subunit ribosomal RNA", at positions 523 to 796 of the family's 1533-position model. The record is from RNAcentral.